CAGCAGCCACGGUAAUACGAAGGGGGCUAGCGUUGUUCGGAAUUACUGGGCGUAAAGCGCACGUAGGCGGAUAUUUAAGUCAGGGGUGAAAUCCCAGAGCUCAACUCUGGAACUGCCUUUGAUACUGGGUAUCUUGAGUAUGGAAGAGGUGAAUGGAAUUCCGAGUGUAGAGGUGAAAUUCGUAGAUAUUCGGAGGAACACCAGUGGCGAAGGCGGCUCACUGGACCAUAACUGACGCUGAUGCACGAAAGCUAGGGGAGCAAACAGGAUUAGAUACCCGUGUAGUCCCUGUCUCUUAUAC
Molecule: ribosomal RNA, 301 nt
Filed under: uncultured bacterium
Lineage: Bacteria
Description: partial 16S ribosomal RNA
Rfam family: Bacterial small subunit ribosomal RNA
Source: RNAcentral